CAAGAUACAGAACAGCUAGGAAUAUAAAAUUGUAUUUAUAUUCACAUUUCAGAUACUUUGUUUUGAUCUAAGUAUGGGGCAAAGAAGUAAAGGAGAUAGAACACCUAACACAAAAAUUGAAAUAUAUUUUGGAUGAUGCUUUCAUAGGAACUAUUCUAAAGAAGUUGGUAGAAUUUUUAAAGAACUUUAUCAAUUAAUAAAAUAUGCAGUACAAGUAUAUUUACAUGGAUUUAUAUAUAGGGAAUCAAUAAAAUUAUUUUCAACUUUUAUAGUUGUAAAAUAUUUUAAUACAGGAUGCAAAGCCACUAAGAAAGCAUUAUUUUAGCAUUUUCAAAUAUUUCAUUUGGUAUAAAUGUGAGAUAAAAGAGCUACAACACCUAAGAUUAAUGAAAUUAAAGUAGCACAUUUUGGAUAGUAUUUUCAUAAGCAACAUUUAAAAGAAAUUGCUAGAAUGUAGCAACAAAAAUGGAUGAGUUGGAUUAACUAAAACAUAUUUCAUAUAAAUAUAAUGUAUUAAUGUGAAUUUAUGUUAUUUUCACGUGCUAUAUGUGUUUUAAAUUAAAAAAGCCCUUGAAGAUCCUGG
RNAcentral lists this long non-coding RNA (583 nucleotides) under Bos taurus (domestic cattle). RNAcentral describes it as "long non-coding RNA NONBTAT019749". Lineage: Eukaryota; Metazoa; Chordata; Mammalia; Artiodactyla; Bovidae. The record is from RNAcentral.